RNAcentral lists this ribosomal RNA (496 nucleotides) under uncultured bacterium. RNAcentral's name for it is "partial 16S ribosomal RNA". It matches the Rfam family "Bacterial small subunit ribosomal RNA", at positions 28 to 507 of the family's 1533-position model. The record is from RNAcentral.
GAUGAACGCUGGCGGCGUGCCUAAUACAUGCAAGUCGAGCGAACAGACGAGGAGCUUGCUCCUCUGACGUUAGCGGCGGACGGGUGAGUAACACGUGGAUAACCUACCUAUAAGACUGGGAUAACUUCGGGAAACCGGAGCUAAUACCGGAUAAUAUAUUGAACCGCAUGGUUCAAUAGUGAAAGACGGUUUUGCUGUCACUUAUAGAUGGAUCCGCGCCGCAUUAGCUAGUUGGUAAGGUAACGGCUUACCAAGGCAACGAUGCGUAGCCGACCUGAGAGGGUGAUCGGCCCCCCUGGAACUGAGACACGGCCAAGACUCCUAGGGGAGGCAGAAGUGGGGAUUCUUCCGAAAUGGGCGAAAGCCGGAGGAAGCAACGCCGCGUGAGUAAUGAAGUUCUUCGGUUCUAAAACCUCUGUAUUAGGGAAGAACAAAUGUGUAAGUAACUAUGCACGUCUUGACGGUACCUAAUCAGAAAGCCACGGCUAACUACGUG